This is a non-coding RNA of Desulfomonile tiedjei DSM 6799, 182 nucleotides long. It matches the Rfam family "6S / SsrS RNA". From Rfam's summary of the family: E. coli 6S RNA was the first non coding RNA to be sequenced, but its function was unknown until recently. It consists of 184 nucleotides that fold into an extended hairpin structure with a large single-stranded internal bulge. The 6S RNA specifically associates with RNA polymerase holoenzyme containing the sigma70 specificity factor. The record is from Rfam. Lineage: Bacteria; Pseudomonadati; Thermodesulfobacteriota; Desulfomonilia; Desulfomonilales; Desulfomonilaceae.
AGUCCCCUGCUUGGUUCGUGAUUGGCGGCAAUUUUUUGAGCCAACACUCAAAAAAUGGGAGCCACCCCCGGCUGUGGUGAGCAUGCCUGCCAUUGAAGCAGGAAGCCUGAAGCAGUCGUCUGGGUCCCACCUGGGAAACCAGGUUCAAAAGUUCCGCUGUAACGGCCGAUAGCGGGGGACUA